UGGAAACUACUGUCUUUUUAAUUAUACCAGUUCAGCAACUUUCUGUCCCACUAGUUGAUGGCUGCAUGGAGAUAUUUUUAAGAGAAACUGAACAUAUCAAGGUCUUGGGACAAUUGUGAAAAAAAACCUUCUGAGUAGAGACAGAAGGGGUUUCUGAUGUCACCUACUCACUUUCCACUGGCACAUCUGGUGUCAAAUACCCCAGAAGAGAAGCAUGUACAUUACCUUCUGUUUAGAAGUCUUAUUGGUUCACUGUAUCAGGAGUGCAAGGUUACAGUAUCUAAAUUUAUCACAUUCAAGAAUAAUAUACUAGAAGCAAACCAAACAGCAUAUUUACUCUCAGCAACAACCUGCCUAUAAAAUUAGUUCACUGUAUUGCAAGUUCAAUUUGAAUGCUAUCAAGCCUUUUAAGUGUAAGCAAAUGUAUGCUUGCUGUGUGUAUCACCUGCCCUAUACAAAAACUGUAUAUCA
Molecule: non-coding RNA, 471 nt
Organism: Pelobates cultripes (western spadefoot toad)
Lineage: Eukaryota; Metazoa; Chordata; Amphibia; Anura; Pelobatidae
Source: the annotation of a GenBank genome assembly